RNAcentral lists this long non-coding RNA (2392 nucleotides) under Monodelphis domestica (gray short-tailed opossum). RNAcentral's name for it is "lncRNA (ENSMODG00000047992.1)". Lineage: Eukaryota; Metazoa; Chordata; Mammalia; Didelphimorphia; Didelphidae. The record is from RNAcentral.
UGCCUCCCAAGUCAGCAAAACUAAGCAGCCUCUUACUAUUUCCUGAUUCAAAGUGCUCCUUUCCUUCUCUACUUUUGAACGGAGCCAAGUUAUUCACUAGCAAAGAGAAAUAAAAAGGGAAAGAGUAGCCCAGACUGAGCAUAUGCCGUGUUUCAACAGGAACCCCCCAAACGUCAUCUCUCUGAAGAAAAGUGUUGCAAGUGAGGGAUUUUCGAGUGUUGUGCAAAUUCCAGGAAUCUUAGGCAAGCUGUGCAGUUUCGAUUCUAGGGUGUGUUAACUCAUACCGGAAAUACACAGGCAGUGACCUACUUCUUUUCCAAUGGAUUUGUUUCUGGUUCAAGCUGUGCUCUGUAAAAUGGUUCGUUUUCAGAAAAGACGCCAAGUCCUCUUUUGGAGGAUGACAAAGGCUUUAAAAUUUCAACCCAAAUCAUCAUCAUGGGAAAAUCGUGUUUCAAAUCAAGGACUUUGUUAUUGAACAUAGUCCGCUCUUAAAAUGUUUAAUCAAUCACUACCUUUCUUUUAAAAAUGAUUCUCGAAAGGAAAUGUUGUCAAGUGGAGGGUAUGUUAAGCGUCUUUAAUAAGUGGCAUCUAAAGGCAACUCCAAGAGUUGAUUUAAACAGUCAUUACUCAAAGCUGCUAAAUGUCAGAAUUCUAUAUAGGAGUCUUUUGUAGCACAUUGACAUCAAGUAUAAUUAAUAUUUGUGCUUUUUAUUAGAAAUAAGGGAUAAGGGCUUACUUGGAUCUGUGAUUCAUUAGUACAGGGAAUGCCUGGAUGAGAAAACGCUCUCUAAAUUAAUGCAAAAACAAACAAAACCAGAAACAAUUAGAGAGAAUAAGAAAAGAAGACCCAGAAAGGAGGAAGUAGGAAAGCAUGGAGAUGCUAGGAAUAAGGUUGUUCAAAAAGGAAAAAGAGAAAAACAGGUAAGAGGGAUCUUUUUCUUUUUAGUGAUUGGAAGAGUAAUGAAGAAAAACCAAAAAGAAUCACAAUCAAGCAAUUUGCCACAGUUCAUGAGACAUUUAGAAAGCACCAAUGAGGUAAGCUAAACACUAGGAUACAAAUAAGAAAAAGACAGUCCUUGCUCUCAGGAAAGCAAUACACAAAAGGAAGCUGAAAGUAAGGGAAGAAGGAGACCACCGAGGGGUACACCCUGCCUGGGUCAUGAUGUUACUGCUUGAGGCUCCCCGAACCCACUAGAAGCCUCAAGGUAGGAAGAUAGAAAAAGGAUAGAAGUUUUGGAUACCCCGAGGGGCAUGGUGGAGUCAAGUUAUAGAUAUGAGGUGGCAGAAAUGAGACAGAAACCAGGCCUUAUUGAUUAUAAUAGGGCCACAGCAUAACCCCGAUAUUUAGGAUGUCGCAGAGGCAUGAUCCAUCCUGAGAUCCACAAUUAAUACCACACAGAUUGGAGAAAUGAUAGAGAAAAGAGAGUGCCUGGCCAAAAGCCAGGACCCAGGUGAGAGAGAUAGAGGAGGAAAGGAAUUAAAGAUGGAGCUUGGCCAGAGGCCAAGCUCCAGCAAGGACAGACAUCAGUGAGAGCUAAGAUCCAAGAGAGGAAGAGAGGGCAGAGCUUGCUGUGGCCCUGUAUUUAAUUUCUUUGAUAUGCAAAUAUACACAAUACAUAGGGAUGAUUAUCAUUGGUUAAUGACAAGGUAUAGGUAUGGUUUCUCUUUAGCCAGGUGAACACAAAGAAACCUGUUUUCCCACCUAACCUGGGGGAAGCUGGGAUCAAGGGUCAGAGGCUUUCCCAGCUAUGCACAAGACUGAGCAUGCUCUCUUCUAAGACAAUCUUUACAUUCUGUUUCCCUUGUCCCUAGAUAGGUGUGGACUGCUACACUGCUCAAAACAAAGUAGAUACACUGAUGGAAAAUUGAAUUGUCUGGAAAAUUCAGAGCCCUUUAUAAAGGAAAGCUUCAUAAAGAAUGAUGAAUAGGAUGACUUCAAAAAGAACUGGAAAGACCUACAUGAAGUGACCGAGAGUGAAAUAAGCAGAACCAAAAGAGCAUUAUACACAGAAACUGAAAUAUUAUGGAAUGAUCAAAUGUCAAAGACUUUGCUACUAGCAGGAAUACAAUGACCUGGGACAAUUCUGAGGGACUUAGGAAAAAGAAUGUUAUCCACCUCCAGAGAAAGAAUUGCUGGAGUAGAAAUGUAGAUGAAAACAUAUGAUUUAUCACUUGUUUAUUUGGAGUUUUGUUUUUAUAAAAUCAUUCACUAACAAAAAUGAAUAAUAUGGAAAUAAGUUUUGCAUAAUAAUACAUGUAUAACCCAGACUGAAUUGCUUGUUAGUUCCAGGAGGGGGGGAGGAAGAUAAAAUGAAUCAUAUAACCUUGGGAAACUUACAUAGAACUUUGUUAUUAAAAUAAAAUAUAUAAAGAAAAGCUUCUGGAAAAGUUU